GAAAAUUGAUGAGCUGAGCUGAGCAGGUGUACAGGAAAGCUUUGCGCUGCAGGGUUAGGCAAUGGAAAAAGUGUGAAGCACUUAUGUCCAUGACCAGAUCGAGUGAUAAGAGGACCGGCUUCCUUUGCUAUCUAAUUAAUUGUCUUUCUUUUCAAAACACGGUCUUUGAUUUCAAGAAGCACCUGAAGAAGCAUAACCUCUUGGCGGCUCCACUUCUGUUCUUCGAAUGGUCAUCUUUUGCUCCAGAAAAGGAAUAUGAGGAAUCGAGAAUGACAAUCAUGAAGGCCAACUACAUUCGAGAUCUCCUGUUUUCCUGCUCAGUUCACUCAUGCUCCCAGAGGGUGGCAAUUUUGUCCUCUUUAUCUGUGUAUUCUUCAUACCACUAUUGCUCACUAAGUGAUGCCUAGAACACAAAUCCUAUGAUAGCUAUCACAUUGAGAAAGGUGCUGUGAACCUAGAAUUUCUUGAAAAAGGCUCUCUUCACAACAUGUAGAAUUUCGUCGCCAUGCACAUCCAAGUGAAAUAAGGUAAAGGUAAAAUUAGAACCUUUCCUAGGUCUUUCCAAUAAUUAUCCUACACAGGGGAAUAGUAUUGUCACAAGAUUCUCUGCCUAAAUUUCAAAACAUCACAUAGCUUAUUAAAAAAGAGAUGUUAAUUUUAUCAGAUAAAAUAUGAAACAUGAUUUUUUUUAAGGAAUCUGUUACAGUUUGGACAUAAUAAAUUAUUUUGGAGAAACA
RNAcentral lists this long non-coding RNA (737 nucleotides) under Felis catus (domestic cat). RNAcentral describes it as "lncRNA (ENSFCAG00000041193.2)". Lineage: Eukaryota; Metazoa; Chordata; Mammalia; Carnivora; Felidae. The record is from RNAcentral.